GAAGUGGGCUGGACGGUCGCUGCUGUGGAGGUCUCCGUGACUGAAGCAGGGGAGGAAAGUCCGGGCUUCAUAGGGCAAGGUGCCAGGUAACGCCUGGGCGGCGAAAGCCGACGGCAAGUGCAGCAGAGAGUAGACCGCCUCAUUCGUGAGGUAAGGGUGAAAGGGUGCGGUAAGAGCGCACCGCGUGUCUGGUAACAGUUCACGGCAAGGUAAACCCCACCAGAAGCAAGACCAAAUAGGAAUCCUGAGGCACGGCCCGUGCUGGAUUCGGGUAGGUCGCUUGAGCGUAUGAGUGAUUGUGCGCCUAGAGGAAUGAUCGUCCUCGACAGAACCCGGCUUAUAGGCUCACUUCUAAG
RNAcentral lists this RNase P RNA (356 nucleotides) under Acinetobacter haemolyticus. Its description in RNAcentral is "RNase P RNA component class A". It matches the Rfam family "Bacterial RNase P class A". Rfam says of the family: Ribonuclease P (RNase P) is a ubiquitous endoribonuclease, found in archaea, bacteria and eukarya as well as chloroplasts and mitochondria. Its best characterised activity is the generation of mature 5'-ends of tRNAs by cleaving the 5'-leader elements of precursor-tRNAs. Lineage: Bacteria; Pseudomonadati; Pseudomonadota; Gammaproteobacteria; Moraxellales; Moraxellaceae. RNAcentral also lists the same sequence under 2 other names. The record is from RNAcentral.